This 499-nucleotide ribosomal RNA is filed under the name uncultured Glomeromycotina. RNAcentral describes it as "partial small subunit ribosomal RNA". It matches the Rfam family "Eukaryotic small subunit ribosomal RNA", at positions 591 to 1092 of the family's 1831-position model. Lineage: Eukaryota; Fungi; Glomeromycota. The record is from RNAcentral.
CCAAUAGCGUAUAUUAAAGUUGUUGCAGUUAAAAAGCUCGUAGUUGAAUUUCGGGAUUAAUUUAUUGGUCGUGCUAUUGUACGUACUGGUUUUAUUGAUUCCUCCCUUCUGACGAACUAUGAUGCCAUUAAUUUGGUGUCUUAGGGAAUCAGGACUGUUACUUUGAAAAAAUUAGAGUGUUUAAAGCAGGCUCACGCUUGAAUACAUUAGCAUGGAAUAACGGAAUAGGACGUUUGAUUCUAUUUUGUUGGUUUCUAGGAUCGACGUAAUGAUUAAUAGGGAUAGUUGGGGGCAUUAGUAUUCAAUUGUCAGAGGUGAAAUUCUUGGAUUUAUUGAAGACUAACUACUGCGAAAGCAUUUGCCAAGGAUGUUUUCAUUAAUCAAGAACGAAAGUUAGGGGAUCGAAGACGAUCAGAUACCGUCGUAGUCUUAACCAUAAACUAUGCCGACUAGGGAUCGGAUGAUGUUAAUUUUUUAAUGACUCAUUCGGCGCCUUACG